UGGGGAAUUUUGGACAAUGGGCGAAAGCCUGAUCCAGCAAUGCCGCGUGUGUGAAGAAGGCCUUCGGGUUGUAAAGCACUUUUGUCCGGAAAGAAAUCCUUGGCUCUAAUACAGUCGGGGGAUGACGGUACCGGAAGAAUAAGCACCGGCUAACUACGUGCCAGCAGCCGCGGUAAUACGUAGGGUGCAAGCGUUAAUCGGAAUUACUGGGCGUAAAGCGUGCGCAGGCGGUUUGCUAAGACCGAUGUGAAAUCCCCGGGCUCAACCUGGGAACUGCAUUGGUGACUGGCAGGCUAGAGUAUGGCAGAGGGGGGUAGAAUUCCACGUGUAGCAGUGAAAUGCGUAGAGAUGUGGAGGAAUACCGAUGGCGAAGGCAGCCCCCUGGGCCAAUACUGACGCUCAUGCACGAAAGCGUGGGGAGCAAACAGGAUUAGAUACCCUGGUAGUCCACGCCCUAAACGAUGUCAACUAGUUGUUGGGGAUUCAUUUCCUUAGUAACGUAGCUAACGCGUGAAGUUGACCGCCUGGGGAGUACGGUCGCAAGAUUAAAACUCAAAGGAAUUGACGGGGUCAUACUGUUUCCU
Molecule: ribosomal RNA, 584 nt
Filed under: uncultured bacterium
Lineage: Bacteria
Description: partial 16S ribosomal RNA
Rfam family: Bacterial small subunit ribosomal RNA
Source: RNAcentral